CCUACGGGAGGCAGCAGUAAGGAAUCUUCCACAAUGGACGAAAGUCUGAUGGAGCAACGCCGCGUGCAGGAUGACGGUCUUCGGAUUGUAAACUGCUUUUAUAUGGGAAGCGGUACCAUAUGAAUAAGGACCGGCUAACUACGUGCCAGCAGCCGCGGUAAUACGUAGGGUCCAAGCGUUAUCCGGAAUCACUGGGCGUAAAGCGUGCGUAGGUGGCGUGUUAAGUGUGAUGUUAAAUCGUGGGGCUCAACCCUAUCGCUGUAUCACAUACUGGCAUGCUAGAGGACGGCAGAGGCAAGUGGAACUCGUAGUGUAGCAGUGAAAUGCGUAGAUAUUACGAAGAACACCAAUGGCGAAGGCAGCUUGCUGGCCCUCCUGACACUGAGGUACGAAAGCGUGGGGAGCGAACAGGAUUAGAUACCCUUGUAGUC
Molecule: ribosomal RNA, 431 nt
Filed under: uncultured bacterium
Lineage: Bacteria
Description: partial 16S ribosomal RNA
Rfam family: Bacterial small subunit ribosomal RNA
Source: RNAcentral